Molecule: ribosomal RNA, 253 nt
Filed under: uncultured archaeon
Lineage: Archaea
Description: partial 16S ribosomal RNA
Rfam family: Archaeal small subunit ribosomal RNA
Source: RNAcentral
UCCCAGCAGUCCAAGUCGCAGCCACAUUUGUUGGGUCUAAAAUAUCCGUAGCUUGCCUUGUAAGUCUUUUGUGAAAUCUGGCCUCUUAAGGGUCGGGCGAGCAAAAGAUACUGCUUGGCUAGAGACCGGGAGACGUAAGGAGUACGAUAAGGGUAGCGGUAAAAUGCGUUGAUCCUUAUCGGACUAACAAUAGCGAAGGCACCUUACGAGAACGGUUCUGACAGUGAGGGAUGAAGGCUAGGGGCGCAAAGUG